UAUUGAAAAACAAAAUAUUUUUUUGUGACUCUAAUCUAGGCUUUAUUUUUUAAUUCAAAGAACUAGAAAACAUGGUGAAGAUUGCAAUCAAGAUAGCAUUUGUAAUGAUCUUUUUCGCUUUAGUAGUCACCAACGGAUUUGAUGUCCCAAAAAUACCAAGAAAAGUGGUGCCUGAGACAAAGGGUUGCCCUGGAAAUUGCGCAUAUCUACAACCAUAUUGUGAUCCACUAUUUCCUGCGUGUCUAUAUGGCCAUUGUACAUGUGCAAAGUUAAGCACAAUAGAAGAACACCACAUUGCUGUAGAUGCUGAAAAACAAAACUAGUGCCUACGUGCAUACUGUUACAAAUAAUGUAACAUUACCACCUAUGUUAAAAUAAAAUAUCUAAAUAUUGGAAUUUAAUAAUUUGUUAUUACUCAUGGAUGUAAAAUUCGUGAUGUCUUGUAUACUUAUAUAUUACCAUGGAACUAUUAAAUAAAAAAAUAAUUAAGUUUAUAA
Long non-coding RNA from Arachis duranensis, 497 nucleotides. RefSeq lists it as uncharacterized. The record is from RefSeq and is a predicted model, not a curated record. Lineage: Eukaryota; Viridiplantae; Streptophyta; Magnoliopsida; Fabales; Fabaceae. The transcript is spliced from 2 exons.